Molecule: small RNA, 309 nt
Filed under: Histoplasma capsulatum
Lineage: Eukaryota; Fungi; Ascomycota; Eurotiomycetes; Onygenales; Ajellomycetaceae
Also listed under: 1 other name
Description: hypothetical RNA
Source: RNAcentral
GCCACGUUGAUUAAAUCAUAUCUUGUACUGGUGAGGCGGACAGGAGCCUGGUCGCACUAAGCAAAGCUGUACGAGGCCAAGUCAGGAAAUCUUCGCCGGCCAUGGAAAACCCGACAUGCAGACUGUUUUACUGAGUUAUUGAGCAUGGCGCUGUGUGGGCCCAUGGUAUGAGAGAAUCUCCAGGGUCGCUGUUUCUUAUGUUGUGCUCUUGUAGUUUCCGUUUCCAAUGGAGCGAUGGGUUGAACGUAAUGCGUAAGGUAUGCUUUCAGCAGUCAUGAUCUAUUUAUUUCCUGACGUUUGGAUGGGGGU